Brienomyrus brachyistius is the source of this 468-nucleotide long non-coding RNA. RefSeq lists it as uncharacterized. The record is from RefSeq and is a predicted model, not a curated record. NCBI's taxonomy places the organism in Eukaryota, Metazoa, Chordata, Actinopteri, Osteoglossiformes, Mormyridae. The transcript is spliced from 2 exons.
CUAGUGAGCUGUCUUACCAACAUGGAGAGAAACGUCACGCAGAAGCAUGGAAAUCUCUGCCCGAUACUCCUCACUCGCUUUCGACAGUGUGGUGGCAUCUUGGACAAAUGUAACAGCGGAUCACACUGCAGGCAGGUGUGGGCAAAGGGAAGGCAGCAAUGCAAAAGGCAGAGCCAGACGAGUACAGUUGGAGCCAUUACAACAAAGAUCAGCAACCAACAGCGAUAAUGCCAGAACUCUGCAUGCGUCUUAGAAUUUAUAUAACGCUACUGACUACGUCACUGUACACUUUUUGUCGUAGGCAUCUCCAUGGAAACCGAACUCAGGGAGACAGAUUGACGUGCGGGAGUUCUAGAAUUUCUAGGCGCUUUGUUUACAUUUCUGAACAUCCGAUGUUUCCGAGAAAGAUAAUGAAAUUUCAGAAAGUCGGUGAAAAUAAUAUAUGUGAUUAAAACGAUUAUUAAAUAA